RNAcentral lists this ribosomal RNA (156 nucleotides) under Morchella elata. RNAcentral's name for it is "5.8S ribosomal RNA". It matches the Rfam family "5.8S ribosomal RNA". Rfam says of the family: 5.8S ribosomal RNA (5.8S rRNA) is a component of the large subunit of the eukaryotic ribosome. It is transcribed by RNA polymerase I as part of the 45S precursor that also contains 18S and 28S rRNA. Functionally, it is thought that 5.8S rRNA may be involved in ribosome translocation. Lineage: Eukaryota; Fungi; Ascomycota; Pezizomycetes; Pezizales; Morchellaceae. The record is from RNAcentral.
AAACUUUCAACAACGGAUCUCUUGGUUCCCACAUCGAUGAAGAACGCAGCGAAAUGCGAUAAGUAAUGUGAAUUGCAGAAUUCCGUGAAUCAUCGAAUCUUUGAACGCACAUUGCGCCCCCUGGUAUUCCGGGGGGCAUGCCUGUUCGAGCGUCAU